Molecule: ribosomal RNA, 253 nt
Filed under: uncultured bacterium
Lineage: Bacteria
Description: partial 16S ribosomal RNA
Rfam family: Bacterial small subunit ribosomal RNA
Source: RNAcentral
UACGUAGGGCGCAAGCGUUGUCCGGAUUUAUUGGGCGUAAAGAGCUCGUAGGCGGUUUGUCGCGUCUUCCGUGAAAACUGGGGGCUUAACUUCCAGCUUGCGGUGGAUACGGGCUGACUGGAGUGCGGCAGGGGAGACUGGAAUUCCUGGUGUAGCGGUGAAAUGCGCAGAUAUCAGGAGGAACACCAAUAGCGAAGGCAGCUCGCUGGGACGGUACUGACGCUAAGGCGCGAAAGCGUGGGGAGCGAACAGG